GGAGGGUGCAAUUUAAGAUACCUAGUAUUGAGAAAUAGGACUAAGGCCAAGCUUCUUUAAUUUAAUUUUUUAAAUUAUAAUGAUAUUUAUGAAAUUUUGAGUAUAGUAUUAUUUAUUCCUUUUUGCAUAUAAAGAAAUAUUUAAUCUUAUAUAGUGUGAUUUUUUUUUCUUUUCAUUUUUUUGCAGUUAAAUCGUCUAUGCUUUUU
This 206-nucleotide long non-coding RNA is filed under the name Gossypium raimondii (Peruvian cotton). Its description in RNAcentral is "long non-coding RNA (GRAI_LNC001538)". The record is from RNAcentral. Lineage: Eukaryota; Viridiplantae; Streptophyta; Magnoliopsida; Malvales; Malvaceae.